CAGGCUGCUUAUGCACCCAUUUAAAAGGCAGGCUGCUUAUGCACCCAUUUAAAAGGCAGGCUGCUUAUGCACCCAUUUAAAAGGCAGGCUGCUUAUGCACCCAUUUAAAAGGCAGGCUGCUUAUGCACCCACAUCAAAAGAUCCUCAAGACCUCGAUGCAGCCCUUUCAUAUUACAUUGCAAAGGACAUGAUGCCAUUUCAAAUUGUUGAGAGGCCUGGCUUUCUGAGGCUGACGAAGGUUGCCGUGCCUCACUACAAAGUGCCACCGCAAACUUUAUUUUCCAAGACUGAAAUCCCAAACCUGUACAACCAGGUUAAAGCUGAUGUUGGAAAAAGUUUGGCUCAAGGAAAAUGGUUUUCUGCAACUGCUGACCUCUGGACCAGUGAAAGCGAAGGUGGUCAACCCGACAUCGGCUUCACUAUCCAUUACCUCACCCCACACUGGCAACUGGAAUCAAACUGCCUGGAAACGCAGUUCUUCCCAGAAGAUCACUCGGCUCACAACAUCAGAGUUUUUUUGUGUGAAUUUGCUGGAAGAGUGGUGGAUCAACAAGAAAGACCUGGUCUGCAUAACCACAGACAACACAACAAACAUGAUCAAGGCUUUUGAAGAGUUCCCCCGAUUUGUGGCUUGGGUGCUUUGGCCAUAAUUUGAACCUGGCCAUCUCAAGGGCUCUGACAAUUCAGAGAGUUGACAUAGCAGGACUGCCGUCAUCUGGUCCAAGGCUUCUCACGGAGCUGGAAGAGAAGGGGAGUACUGAGAGAAAAGCAAGCUGCCCUCAACAUGCCACAGAACCCUCUGAUCCAUGAUGUGGUGACCCAAUGUGGAGUUCACAUUUAAGGUAAAAAUGAUUUUAUUUUUUACUUAGAAAACAAUCCUUGCUAGCGUCUCUGAAGAUUCUAAUAAAAUCUUCCUCUCCUCAUGGUUGAAUGUUCUGGGGAAGCCACUGGGUAACCUUGGAAACCCAGAGGCGGAGUUUGAUUGGCCCUGGGAGGUAGCCAAUGGCAAAUAGCUGCUGUACUUGACGGAGAUCCUGACCAAAGGGAAGUCAGACUCUCACUGUGUGCCACCUGGAGACAUCGUCAACCCACCCAACCUCACGGUGGACCUAAGAGGCCAGCAUAACACAAGGUCCAGGUCAGCCAGAAGUACCAACAACACAUGUUGUGGUGCAAUAAUGUACCUGAUCUUGAAGAGGUCCACUCAUAUACCCAACAAAGGGAAUCAAGGUCCCAGAUACCUCUUUCAUGUCUGUCUACGGAACAACCACAACCACAGUCUGACAAGUGCUGAGGGACUGAAGAGGAGAGAUGUCAGCGGACACCAUUGAGAAAUUGACAAAGCUGUUUGAAAUAAGCCACUCUCCUUCAUCAGCUCUAAACACAAUCAAAUAUGAGUUGCAAGUGCAGUAUGGAGACAACCAUGUGCAUGCCUCUGUAGAUCGCUCCAUUUGCCCCGACCUUCAAUUCUGCUUCAAGUCAGUAGCUUGACACACUCGAACUGCUGAUUCAUUCAGUGUGUUUAAAUGCUAUCACCAGAAAUAAUGCGCUGUAGGUGUGUUCCUCAUUUGUCCAUUGCAGAUUGUACCACAAGCUGUUCAAAGAAGCAUGUGUUGCAUCGUAUAUAGAGGAGAAGAUUGAUGAUUCUAACGAGCAUCUGGAUAACGGGAAUAUAAUCACCAGAAUGCUAUGUUUUCGACCGUGGCAAUGCGUCCGAGGACACCGUUGCAAUUGAGCGUGCCCGUUUCUGAUGUUAAUGGCUCAGUGCUCUCCAAGGUACAUCUGGAAAACCAGCUGAGGGGGCGAUGUUAGAGGAAGAGUGGAUGGAGAUCUUUGAAGACCUCAAAAAGAGGAUGAGGGAGGAUCCUGUGAGUUUCAGGCCAGCAGUAGCGUCCUUCGUUUCCAGCUUCAAGAAGAUGAUAACAGACAGUGAACUCAUAGCCGCACUAUCAAACUCUGGCAUAGCCAACCCUGGACCAACAGCAAAGUUUCACCGGGGACGGGCACGCCCCGCAAAGAGCUCCGUAGGAGAGCGUGGACAUGGCACAUGCAGCUGGAAGAGGAAGGCACCCCAUUGAAUGUCUCAGUGUGUGGAAUAACACAUGGACAUUGGGAGUACUACACAAAAAAAGCAAGCCAACAUCAGUGGCCCCCUGUGCCCGUCAUCUACCUGCUUACCAUCUGUGACCUCCAGUGCACUAGCGCUCUGCCUACCAGCUCUAGGUCUCCUCCACCUUGAACAAAACCAGGGACUAUUUCAAUGCAUUGUGGCCUCUCCAACACCAGAUCCAGUGGCUAUUUCAGUAUUGCAUUCUUGCGUUUUUGUUUUACGUUAAUUCAAUGUAAGACAUUUCUGCAAUUUCAUAUGUUUAAAAAAAAUUGAUUCCAUGUUGAAGAACCAUCAGAUUUUAAAAAGCUGUUCUGCUAGGCCUAUAAUAUCACUGAGCCAAAGCAGUAGUUGUCUUGACCUAAAUAUAAAAAGCCUUAUAUAAUAUUUUUUUCUCAAAUUGUAUUGGUCACAUACACAUGGUUAGUAGAUGUUAAUGCGAGUGUAGCGAAAUGCUUGUGCAUAAACUGGUAUAUGUUGUGCAUCAAGUUGUCCUUUUUAUGUUGAACAAAUGCAAGACUACCAUUCUAAUGAUGGGUUGUAAAAGACACAUAAUUAAGUGUUUAUUUGUACAUAAAAAAAUAUCCAGAGGGGAACCUGCAAAAAAUGUU
Long non-coding RNA from Oncorhynchus tshawytscha (Chinook salmon), 2718 nucleotides. RefSeq lists it as uncharacterized. NCBI's taxonomy places the organism in Eukaryota, Metazoa, Chordata, Actinopteri, Salmoniformes, Salmonidae. The transcript has 5 exons. The record is from RefSeq and is a predicted model, not a curated record.